GAAAAGCAAGACUCAACAGAAGUUAAUGUAGUGGAAAGACCUCAGUUUAUUUAACAACCAGGAGGAAUGGAUUAACCGGGCGAGAUGGACCUAUCCGAAGAACGAAGAAGCUGGACUGGCUGUGAGUCCGGCGGAGCAGCCAGUGGGGAAGGAGGAACACACUGCAAGAGCACUGCUGCUGAGAUUAAAACCUGAUGGAGGGUGUCUGAGCAAUGCAUGUGUGUUGAGAGGAGUGGAGGCCAGACGCACAUACGACACCAUCACCAGUGAGAAAGAUCAAGUACGUUCAUCAUGUGGCCUGAAGAUGGAUGUGACGAGUCCCAGUUACUAGGGUUUGUUAGGGGGAUUAAAGUAUAGUUCCGGUUAAUUUCAUGUAAUGGAGGUUCCUUUGGCCUGAGAGUAGACUAAGAACCAGAUUAAACUGAAAUGUAGGGCUUGGUUAUCAAU
Siniperca chuatsi (mandarin fish) is the source of this 447-nucleotide long non-coding RNA. RefSeq lists it as uncharacterized. The transcript is spliced from 3 exons. NCBI's taxonomy places the organism in Eukaryota, Metazoa, Chordata, Actinopteri, Centrarchiformes, Sinipercidae. The record is from RefSeq and is a predicted model, not a curated record.